RNAcentral lists this ribosomal RNA (254 nucleotides) under uncultured bacterium. RNAcentral describes it as "partial 16S ribosomal RNA". It matches the Rfam family "Bacterial small subunit ribosomal RNA", at positions 524 to 776 of the family's 1533-position model. The record is from RNAcentral.
UACGUAGGGGGCAAGCGUUGUCCGGAAUCAUUGGGCGCAAAGCGCGUGUAGGCGGCUGGGUAAGUCCGCUCUGAAAGCCCGGGGCUCAACCCCGGGAGGCGGGUGGAUACUGCUCAGCUCGAGUCCGGAAGAGGAGUGUGGAAUUCCUGGUGUAGCGGUGAAAUGCGCAGAUAUCAGGAGGAACACCAAUGGCGAAGGCAGCUUACUAAGGAGUAACUGACGCUGAUGCACGAAAGUGUGGGGAUCAAAACAGG